RNAcentral lists this ribosomal RNA (463 nucleotides) under uncultured Actinomycetes bacterium. Its description in RNAcentral is "bacterial SSU rRNA". It matches the Rfam family "Bacterial small subunit ribosomal RNA", at positions 43 to 526 of the family's 1533-position model. The record is from RNAcentral. Lineage: Bacteria; Bacillati; Actinomycetota; Actinomycetes.
CAGGCCUAACACAUGCAAGUCGAACGAUGAAGCCUUCGGGUGGAUUAGUGGCGAACGGGUGAGUAACACGUGGGUCAUCUGCCUCGCACUCUGGGAUAAGCCUGGGAAACUGGGUCUAAUACCGGAUAUGACCCUGCAACGCAUGUUGUGGGGUGGAAAGUUUUUCGGUGCGAGAUGAGCCCGCGGCCUAUCAGCUUGUUGGUGGGGUAAUGGCCUACCAAGGCGACGACGGGUAGCCGGCCUGAGAGGGCGAUCGGCCACACUGGGACUGAGACACGGCCCAGACUCCUACGGGAGGCAGCAGUGGGGAAUAUUGCACAAUGGGCGGAAGCCUGAUGCAGCGACGCCGCGUGGGGGAUGACGGCCUUCGGGUUGUAAACCCCUUUCGAUCACGACGAAGAGCAAUUGACGGUAGUGAUAGAAGAAGCACCGGCCAACUACGUGCCAGCAGCCGCGGUAAUAC